RNAcentral lists this ribosomal RNA (482 nucleotides) under uncultured bacterium. Its description in RNAcentral is "partial 16S ribosomal RNA". It matches the Rfam family "Bacterial small subunit ribosomal RNA", at positions 30 to 507 of the family's 1533-position model. The record is from RNAcentral.
AUUGAACGCUGGCGGCAUGCUUUACACAUGCAAGUCGAACGGUAACAGGUCUUCGGAUGCUGACGAGUGGCGAACGGGCGAGUAAUACAUCGGAACGUGCCUAGUAGUGGGGGAUAACUACUCGAAAGAGUAGCUAAUACCGCAUGAGAUCUACGGAUGAAAGCAGGGGACCUUCGGGCCUUGUGCUACUAGAGCGGCUGAUGGCAGAUUAGGUAGUUGGUGGGGUAAAGGCUUACCAAGCCUGCGAUCUGUAGCUGGUCUGAGAGGACGACCAGCCACACUGGGACUGAGACACGGCCCAGACUCCUACGGGAGGCAGCAGUGGGGAAUUUUGGACAAUGGGCGAAAGCCUGAUCCAGCAAUGCCGCGUGCAGGAUGAAGGCCCUCGGGUUGUAAACUGCUUUUGUACGGAACGAAAAGCCUGGGGCUAAUAUCCCCGGGUCAUGACGGUACCGUAAGAAUAAGCACCGGCUAACUACGUG